ACAGGGGCGGGGGAGAGGGGAGGAUGAAGGAGGAGGAGGAAGAGAAGGGGCAUCCAGAGAGGCUGAUACUUUCACUUUCCUUUCAUCCCUCCCCUCUCCGCCCCUUUGGGUUUCUGCCAGGGAUCCCAAAGGAAACAGGGCUGGGACAGGCCAAGUCUGAAGGCUAGAGAUUAGAGGCUUACCUUGUGCCCAAGAACUGUACCCAAAGAUUAAGUGUCUGCCCUGGAUGGACACCUCACGGUCAAAAAACUUGGUCGCUUCUGCAUCCCUUCUCAUUAGGAUGUGGUGAAAAGUGAAGACAGGACUGUCUACACAGCUUGCAGGAUCCGGUACAAAAUAAAAUGUUCCAAAAUUA
Molecule: non-coding RNA, 355 nt
Organism: Macaca mulatta (Rhesus monkey)
Lineage: Eukaryota; Metazoa; Chordata; Mammalia; Primates; Cercopithecidae
Source: RefSeq, a predicted model, not a curated record